AUCCCGCUGCGGCGGCGGCUGUGGAGGUCGGUCGGUAGCCGGCCGCGUUGCCCGCUGGCGCUCCGCCAUGUGGUUGCUGACCGUCGGAGCGCUCCUCGCCGUCCUGGGCGCAGGUUCCACCCAGCUGGUGUUUAACGCAGUAGAUUUUGUUGAGAAAUAUGCCUGUAACGAUACAGUUGUUUUACCUUGCAUCGUGACUAACCUGAAGGAGAACAAUGACAGCAGCAUGCAUGUUUCGUGGAAGAGGCAAGGACAAGUAAUUUUUUCUUUUAAUGGACCAGAACAGCGCAUUUACAGGCACGAGUCAGUUCCAUCAGCUAACUUCCUUUCUAAGGCGGAUUUAUUUAAGGGUAUUGCCUCGCUACGACUUAAAAAUGCAGAAGCACCGGAUGGAAAUUACAGCUGUGAAGUAACAGAAUUAAACAGAGAAGGAGAAACAAAGAUGAAACUUAGAACUCACAUGGUUGACAGUUGCGACGAGGAAAAACCUCCAACACCAGUGGAUAAGUGUGAACGACAGUUCGACUUUAUCCAAAGUAUUGUCAUCGCAGUGUUGCUGUUCUUCAUUAUUAUUCUUUGCUGGGCUCAGUUAGGUGUUAUUGCGUUGAAAUGUGAAACUGUUCGUAAGAAGAAAAGGCACAUUACUAUAGCAUGUAGCAUCUUCACAGUCGUUGCUAUUGUAGCUGUUGUGCUUUUUAUCCAAGAUGGCAGUAUUAGCAUGAAUCAAAUUGGUCUUGCUUUUACCAUACUACCUGCUGGGCUGCUGAUGGUGCUUCAAUAUUCUAUAUUUAAAAUGGUCCUGGAUGAUCUAACACACAAAGGAUAUGCUCUGAUAGGCUUUCAAGUUGUGGGUUACAUAGUUGCUGUAGUUGGCUUUGCACUGUCUGUCUCAGCCUGUCCUUCAGUCCUUCUGUCUGUUGUAAUUGCCGGCUUAGUUGUUAUGGCUGUUGCGGAUCUUCUUGCUCUGGCUUAUGUCUAUAGUUGUUCCAGAAUGAAAGAUCAUCAAACUCCAAGGAAUCACUACUUACUGUAUAUGUCAAUUAGAGUAAUUUAACUGUGGCGAGCCAAAAGUAAACAUGAAGACAUUUUAUACAUAUAUAUAUUUUUAAAUGUUUUGCAGAAAGCUGUAGAAGAACCACUAAAUGAUACAAAAGGAGUGAUGUUAGAGUGAUGUAUUAAAGACAGAGACCGAACCUACUGCAGAAAUGAGUGAUGUGUGAGAAGUACACCAUUGUUUAUACGCCGUGGCCUUGAAGAUGCACUACUCAAAGAGAAGAAAUUCAGGAAACUCGUUGUUUUGCAUGUGUGGCAAAAGUGCUUUUGAUAUAAAUGAUGUAAUUUUAUAUAGUCACAGCAGGAACAUGUGUGUUUGCCCAAGCGUGACCUUUAUUUCUUUUGUUAUGGUAUAUAUGGUGUGGUUGAGGGUGAGAAUAUAAAAAGCACUGUUUGCCCACUACAGCAGCUCCCUGCAGUAUACUUAGUGGUAUUACUUUCAAAAACCAUCAUCAGUCACUGCUUUGAUAAUGGGCCUGCUCAGCCCAAAGAUUGCAGUUCCAUUUAGACUAUUGUUUUUAUUUGUGUGCAUGGGCAAGGUAUGGUAGUAAUGUCUGUGAUACAAGCAGGAAGCAGGGAUUGUACAAAUACUUUUUCCAACGUUCAGCAAAACUUUUAUAUAAAAAAGAAAAUGCUUAGACACAAAGUUGUAUAGACGCCAAUUUUACUGCCAGCUCUCCUUAAGAGAUUAACCAAGACAUCUUAAUUCCACAGAACGAUAACAUUCUUGUCAAUAGACAGCGCUCAUGUACGCUGUGGUGGCCAAUACUUUAGUCUGGUGUGAGAGCUCUCAGUGCCUCUUAUGUUUUCUUUGAGCAGCAGCUCAGCUCUUGGAGCCUAAUUCAGCACGGGAAUUAAAGAGCAUUUAGUAAUUUUCACACUGAAUGUGGUUUGUGUGUUUGUUCAUGUCGUGGAGUUUGUGGUACUGGAACCACACAGAGUUUCAGGCUCUCUUAAUGAGUGUAUCUGUAAAACACGUUGAUGCUUCGGAAGAAAUGAAAUUGUCCUUUUAGUGUUUUUAGCAAUUUUAAAUCUCCUUUCUUGAAUGGAGAUAGGAGUUAUUUCAUUUCUGACCCAAAUUUGUGUUCAUGUUAUGUCACAAAUGCAUAGAAUAGAAUUUGCGUAGGAGGUGUUGAUGAGAAGCGAGGAGGCUUGGUUGCUGUUAUACGUAAGUGGCACAGAUAAAAAUCCACAUAGGACUGAUUCUAUAGAACCUUCACAUUCCAUGAGAUUUUAGUGUUUUACAGCUGUUUGGAGAGUCGUUCCAAUGUAGCUGGCUUCUCUUGAACUUCCUUUACAGUUUGCAGAACACUUCUCCCCAGCUCCCACUUGUGCUAGGCUGGUUUCAAAGGCACACGUGGUUCCCUCCUAAUGAUUCUAAACUUGGUUUAGAAAGCUGUUGCUGAACAGUAGUGUAAUAAUAACAUCUAUGUCUUCAGUUGUUCUGAAUAUUAUAACAAGUUUCAGGCUUGGAUGUUAUGAAACAAGGGUUUGUAGCUGUGCUGUGGAUCUGUGUUGCAGACAUCCACUUGCAGGCUCCAAGGCUCAGUGCAGACAGUUCGCAUUGGGGAUUCAAUUAAAUGAAAUUGAAGUAUCCCAUCUUAGAAUAUUCACUCUAGCAGUCCUCUUGCAAGGGCUGCAGGACUGAACCACCAAAGCAGCCCUUGGUCCAGUCCUCCCUAAAAUAAGUGCAAUUGGCCACAGUGCAGACAGUUACUUGUGAUUAAGUGUUUAAGAAGCAAAUACAAUUCACUUGUUUGUCAGUGGGAAUAUUCCUGUCAGAUUUCAGCUCCAAGUAUAUGAAUCUUUUCAAUACAGGUCUUUCAAUAGUCAUAGCAACCCACCUAGAGAUGGGAGACGUUUCUCUCUUGUUAACAAUUCAAUAUCUGAAUUUAAUCUGAUUGAGAUUUGCUCCUCGUUUGUUAAUGAUUCUUUUUGGUUUGUUGUAAGUAGAACAGUUGAGGAAUCGAAUAAAACAAACACACUGGAAUUCUCUUGAGCUAUCCUGCCUUACAAAAAAAUAAAAAAUAAAACCCACAUAUAAUAGCUUUAUGACAACUACUGUAAAGGAAAUUGCAGUAGAAUCCGUUGUGUGUCUCUGUGGUGAUGAGGGCAGGCUGUUACUAGGGUACUACUGAAACAUUUAGGACUCAGUGGCUGUGUACAGCCUGCCGAAUCAGUUGCUCCAGAAAUGAGAGAAACCCAGUGUGCUGUUGCUAAGGGCUCCCCUCUGGGUUUCUUGGAGGUGCACAUUUAACAGUGAGAGUUUCAAAAGUCAUUGAUCUGCCCAGCCCUUUCCCACCAGUAAUUAAAACCAAAGUUCACAACUGUAUGACACCAUUCGUGUUUGUAUGUAUGCGUGUGUAUAUAUAUAAAUGCAUAGACAUUUUAAAUAUCUAUAGUCUUUACUCGAGAAUAUGUUUUUAUUUAUGAAACAUGAAAUUAUUUUGUAAAUAUUGUGCUAAUAUACUGAAAUAAAGUCAUUUUAAGUUGUUUUUGUCAAA
This is an RNA transcript of Gallus gallus (chicken), 3557 nucleotides long. It is a transcript of the gene named CD47 molecule, with no coding region annotated. Lineage: Eukaryota; Metazoa; Chordata; Aves; Galliformes; Phasianidae. The transcript is spliced from 12 exons. The record is from RefSeq and is marked validated.